AACGAGCGCUGGCGGCAUGCCUAACACAUGCAAGUCGAACGGGAUCCUAGCUUCGGUUAGGUGAGAGUGGCGAACGGGUGAGUAACGCGUGGGAACCUGCCCAGAGGUACGGAAUAACAGUUGGAAACGACUGCUAAUACCGUAUGAGCCCGAGAGGGGAAAGAUUUAUCGCCUUUGGAGGGGCCCGCGUCAGAUUAGGUAGUUGGUAGGGUAAUGGCCUACCAAGCCUUCGAUCUGUAGCUGGUCUUAGAGGAUGAUCAGCCACACUGGGACUGAGAUACGGCCCAGACUCCUACGGGAGGCAGCAGUGGGGAAUAUUGGACAAUGGGGGCAACCCUGAUCCAGCAAUGCCGCGUGAGUGAUGAAGGCCU
RNAcentral lists this ribosomal RNA (371 nucleotides) under uncultured bacterium. Its description in RNAcentral is "bacterial SSU rRNA". It matches the Rfam family "Bacterial small subunit ribosomal RNA", at positions 29 to 417 of the family's 1533-position model. The record is from RNAcentral.